This 336-nucleotide ribosomal RNA is filed under the name Pelomonas sp. BC1_NA1A5. RNAcentral describes it as "bacterial SSU rRNA". It matches the Rfam family "Bacterial small subunit ribosomal RNA", at positions 1003 to 1343 of the family's 1533-position model. The record is from RNAcentral. Lineage: Bacteria; Pseudomonadati; Pseudomonadota; Betaproteobacteria; Burkholderiales; Sphaerotilaceae.
GAGAUUUGGGAGUGCUCGAAAGAGAACCUAGACACAGGUGCUGCAUGGCCGUCGUCAGCUCGUGUCGUGAGAUGUUGGGUUAAGUCCCGCAACGAGCGCAACCCUUGUCAUUAGUUGCUACGAAAGGGCACUCUAAUGAGACUGCCGGUGACAAACCGGAGGAAGGUGGGGAUGACGUCAGGUCAUCAUGGCCCUUAUGGGUAGGGCUACACACGUCAUACAAUGGCCGGUACAGAGGGCUGCCAACCCGCGAGGGGGAGCUAAUCCCAGAAAACCGGUCGUAGUCCGGAUCGUAGUCUGCAACUCGACUGCGUGAAGUCGGAAUCGCUAGUAAUC